Molecule: ribosomal RNA, 253 nt
Filed under: uncultured bacterium
Lineage: Bacteria
Description: partial 16S ribosomal RNA
Rfam family: Bacterial small subunit ribosomal RNA
Source: RNAcentral
CACGUAGGGGGCGAGCGUUGUCCGGAUUCAUUGGGCGUAAAGGGCGCGCAGGCGGCCCGGCAAGUCGGAUGUGAAAACUCGAGGCUCAACCUCGAGCGUGCACCCGAUACUGCCGGGCUUGAAGCAGGUAGGGGAGAUCGGAAUUCCUGGUGUAGCGGUGAAAUGCGCAGAUAUCAGGAGGAACACCGGUGGCGAAGGCGGAUCUCUGGGCCUGUCCUGACGCUGAGGCGUGAAAGCUAGGGGAGCGAACAGG